AUGGGGCUGAUGGACACAUUCGGUUGGCGAAGCGAAUGGAGGCUCAAACUGGAGUUGUCCUGAGCCCAAUCGAUGUCUAUAGGAGAGGGCAUAGAGCGAAAAACUGUGAAAUCUCCGAUGAGCUGUGUAGUCAAGCGGCCGUUGAGCGUAUGGAGACAUACAGGCAGGAGAUGGUUAGGAAGUAUGGAG
Zea mays is the source of this 189-nucleotide long non-coding RNA. RefSeq lists it as uncharacterized. The transcript has 3 exons. The record is from RefSeq and is a predicted model, not a curated record. NCBI's taxonomy places the organism in Eukaryota, Viridiplantae, Streptophyta, Magnoliopsida, Poales, Poaceae.